RNAcentral lists this ribosomal RNA (326 nucleotides) under Sandonidae sp. RNAcentral describes it as "SSU rRNA". It matches the Rfam family "Eukaryotic small subunit ribosomal RNA", at positions 632 to 955 of the family's 1831-position model. Lineage: Eukaryota; Cercozoa; Glissomonadida; Sandonidae. The record is from RNAcentral.
GAUUUCUGACUUGAAACAAUUAGCCGGCCGCGGUUUCGCGUGUUAGUGUUAGUUGUUCUGGUCAUCCUUCCAAUUGCUAUUCAUCUUUCUUCAUUGAUGGGUGAGUGGUAUUGGAUCUUUUACUUUGAAAAAAUUAGAGUGUUUCAAGCAGGCAUGUUUUGCUAUGAAUACAUUAGCAUGGAAUAAUAAUCUAGGACUUUCGGUUCUAUUUUGUUGGUGUUCUGGAGCUGAAGUAAUGAUUGAUAGGGAUAGUUGGGGGUGCUAGUAUUCAAUGGCCAGAGGUGAAAUUCUCGGAUUCCUUGAAGACUAACUUAUGCGAAAGCAUU